CAAGUAUUUCAAAUCAUGGCAAGUUUGAAACGAAACACAUUCAAUUUUAGUACUAAGCAACUCAAACGUACUGCUACACAAAGACACUCUCAAAGAUGAGCUAAAUUCACGAAACUCAUCAAACAUCAAACUUUGUGGCUUAAAGGACUUUUCAUGUGUUGUUGUUUCAAAAGAUGAGACCAUUUUAUCAAAAACAAGGUUUGAAACAUGAAAUUCUUUCACAUUUUC
This 228-nucleotide long non-coding RNA is filed under the name Capsella rubella. RNAcentral describes it as "long non-coding RNA (CRUB_LNC000216)". Lineage: Eukaryota; Viridiplantae; Streptophyta; Magnoliopsida; Brassicales; Brassicaceae. The record is from RNAcentral.